AGAUUUUCUCCCUUCAUCAUGCAAUUGUAAAGCUGGGCUGGGACUUCAGGCAAACACAAAGCCACAAAACAAAAUAGUCAAAAAUUAUAAUUUCCUUCUUCAGCUCCCAAAUCAAGAUAGCACAGCUGAACACAUUAAUUACGAAGACAUCAUUUGUUAACAAUGUGCUACUGGGAUAUUUACAAAUCCAUUGAUCUGCGAGGCAUUGAAGGGGAAGAAAAGGUUCAAGAAGAAAUAAGGAGGAAGAAAAAGCACCAAGGAGAGCUGCAGCACUUAAAAGGGAGUUUGUGAAGGCUGAAUGGUUCCUCCUGAGGAAAAAAGCAGAAACACAUGUCCUGAGUUAUCUGCAGGAGUCAGGAGUGUCGUGUUCUGCGCAGAAACACUGCCUUCAAAGCUCUGAAGCCAUUUAGGUAACACACAGCACCUUCAUUUGAAGGUUUCCAGAUUAUUCUGUGUGAGCAGUUUCUCAUGGAGAAGAUAUGUGCCUGCUUGGAUCCUCUUUAACUUGCUAAAUAAAUUUGUUUAAUACCCAGCAGCGCUGUGGCACACAAGCAGGUCUAAAAUGCAGAGAGUUAAAGAAUUUAAGCCCUGCCACAAAAGAGUUUUACUCAGAUUAAAAGGGAACAAAGCCACGUCUAAUCUCUGCGCUGCCACUCAGACCCAGCUUGCUGGGCACUGCUAAUUGCAGCCUUUGAGGCCAAGGAAAAUGCAGAACAUCAGUAGAAAACCCAUUUAUUUGUGUCCCGUGCGUUAGACACAAAAAUGCUUGAAAAGGGAAUAAUGUGGGAAGUUUUAAUGCUAAAUGGCAUGUGUGAUGACAUUUACCAGCUCAGCUCAACCCAGCUGUGACCACGGCCAAUCCAGCGUGGCAGCACAAUGAAUGUCACACUGCUGCAGCCCAGAGUGAGGAUAUUGCCCAUCUGUAUCGUAAUUCCAAUAAAGGAAUAAAUACUUACCCUAUUUAGAGCUGAAGUUCAGUAUUUGUAGGAUGACAAAUGGAUUUGUAAACCCUAUUUUCAAGUAAUCAGUUUAAAGGAAAUUUCACUAUUGCUUACUCUGGGCUUAAGAUUUCCAAACCACCCGAAAAACAAAGAAAGAACUGGCCCAGUAAGAUAAGAUUCCUUAAACCUUUAAAUGAUCUGUUUAAUAUUUUAAUUUGCCUUUGCUUUCUUUGUUAAUAGCACCACUUGGGAUGUGCAGUGAAAGCUCUUCCACAAGAGUUGCACUGGAAAAGCCUUAGCAGGAGACAACACAUGCCUGCCUCAGGGGUUACAAGACAAAUCAAUCUAUUUUUCUCCUUUCCUCCAAGGGUAAUUGGCCUUUAAAAUUACAGAGAAAAAUAGGCCUUCGUGUCAGCACAAUGCAGGCACAUCUACAGCCAUUUUCCAUUUCUUUUUCAGUUGGAAUUCUCAGCUGAGAGGUAAACUUAUAAAGGUGAGAAAAUAAAAAGAAGAUGAAGAGGAACGAUUGCAUCAGUUCAAAUCCCCUCCAAUAACAAGCAGCACUGUGACCAGCAUUUGAGGCUGAAAUUUACUGAAACCUGCUAUGAAUAGCUGUCAUUUUCCAAAGCAGUAUUUUUUUUUAUUCUUGAUUGUGAUAAAAUUUUCUCGAAUUUUUGUGACAGCCUGUACUGCUGGCAUUCAUGGAGAUUUAUCACAGAAUUUAGUCAGACUGAGGACUUAUAAUUAUUGCUUCAUUUCCCAUAAAAUCUCACAAAGUAAUAGUGAUUUUUACCUCAUUCUUCUGAAAUUGCCUUUUUCAAGGAGCAAUCAUGGUUGUGAAUAUCCCUAGAAUCCUUCUGCUGUGCUGUACACAUAAUCACCUGCAGACUCACUUUCAGCCUUUGAAUACUGGUAAAUUGUAUACAGUGCAUUUAAAUUGGCUAAUAAAUUGUUUGAUAGCAGUGAAACUCAGAUGAUAGUCUUCUCACUUUUCUGAUUGCUAUUAAAUCUGCUUUGCAAUACAUUAAUCACAUUCUACUUUUAAUAAGAGACUGUCACGUGAAAAGAUUUCCCUGUGCAUAAAGAUGAGUAAUCAGCCGAGCUACAACUGGUACAUAAAAACAAGAACAAAGUUGAAAAAAGUCAAAACAAGUUAGUGUUUUAAAUCCAGAACUGAUAUUCCCUGAACCAGUCCUGGGAGCACGAAACCACUGAUGUGACCUCGCUCCCUGGGAGUGUGAGUACAGGUGUAAAGCAAUUAUUGGAUUUGAUAUCUGAAUGAACUCAGGCUCCCAUUAGAGCCUGAAUGCUUCAGUGACCCUAUUAUUUUCCUUCCAGUGCUCCCAGACCUGAUCUACUUAAUUAUUCUGACUAGUGAAACAUUUAGGACAUGAAUGUGGGAUUUGUUUGAAGCCAAAUGAGACAAAUGAAAGUACUUCAGAAAACAACUCCAAGAAAAGAAUAAGACGAGUGAGAAUCGAAUGUGUCACAUCCAGCAAGGUCAGGACUAAGUAACAGUAACAAAAAAAAAGAGAGAGAGAGAUCCUUGGCAAUAAAAAUACAUUUAUUCA
This is a long non-coding RNA of Melospiza melodia melodia, 2512 nucleotides long. RefSeq lists it as uncharacterized. The transcript is spliced from 2 exons. The record is from RefSeq and is a predicted model, not a curated record. NCBI's taxonomy places the organism in Eukaryota, Metazoa, Chordata, Aves, Passeriformes, Passerellidae.